GACGAACGCUGGCGGCCUGCUUAACACAUGCAAGUCGAACGGUAAGGCCCUUCGGGGUACACGAGUGGCGAACGGGCCAGUAACACGUGGGUGAUCUGCCCUGCACUUCGGGAUAAGCCUGGGAAACUGGGUCUAAUACCGGAUAGGCCCCCGCGCUCCCCGGUGUCGCGUGGAAAGCGUUUGAGGUGUGGGAUGGGCCCGCGGCCUAUCAGCUUGUUGGUGGGGUAAUGGCCUACCAAGGCGACGACGGGUAGCCGGCCUGAGAGGGUGACCGGCCACACUGGGACUGAGAUACGGCCCAGACUCCUACGGGAGGCAGCAGUGGGGAAUAUUGCACAAUGGGCGCAAGCCUGAUGCAGCGACGCCGCGUGAGGGAUGACGGCCUUCGGGUUGUAAACCUCUUUCAGUAGGGACGAAGCGCAAGUGACGGUACCUACAGAAGAAGGACCGGCCAACUACGUGCCAGCCGCCGCGGUAA
Molecule: ribosomal RNA, 478 nt
Filed under: uncultured bacterium
Lineage: Bacteria
Description: partial 16S ribosomal RNA
Rfam family: Bacterial small subunit ribosomal RNA
Source: RNAcentral